AAAUCACAAUUCCAAGGUAUCUUAUUGCGAAACCGAAAUAGUAUAAAGUACUAUAACAUCAGUAAAAAUCAAGAAUAGCUGAAUGGGUGUGUCAUUCACGCAUCCUUUUUUACUUUUCUAACACCCUAAUUAAUUUCUGUCCGUUGAUUUUCUUCAAUUCAUCCGAUUCGACAGUUAAAAAUUAAAAAGGUGUGAGAGAAGUAAAUAAGGUACCCUAACUGAAAAGCAUUACAUCACAAACCAUCAAUAAAACAGGUAUGGUAUGCUCAUCAGACAAUGGAACGAGCUCAUGUAGAGAUACCCUGACAUGAACAGGCUAGGUGUAUAAAUUUACGUUGUUACUACUCUCGCCAGAAAUUGGGAAUUCGGCCAGGAUUCUUCAACUCCUCGAUGUGCCAUCGUCCUUGCUCCAUUUUCCGAUCCAAGGAUUCUUCAACUCUUCGCCGUGCCGCCGUCGUUGCUCUGAUGUCUGAUCCAAGGAAAUAUUCCGACUCUUUGAACUGAGAUGAAUCAAAUGGUGGUAGCCUCGAGGAACGAUUCCUUGCAUGCCUUUGUCCUCUCGCCGGAUCCUGGGAUUUCUCGCCGAAAAACACAAACUUCUCGGUUUUGAAUCAGCUUCAUUUCUAAACCAAUCACGACAUAAAUACAUAAAAUUGAUCUACUCAACGCGAGGAAUCCAAUGGUAGUAGUCACACGAGACUUGCCUUCGUUGGAAACAGCGAGAAACUCGCCGAGAAAGUUCCUCCGUGUCGGAGCUCCUUGAAUUGACAUCUCAGGUUGAAUUUUCAGGCAAUGGAAGUUGGGAACAAACUCAUGGGGAAGAAGAGAUUACAACGGUUAUAGUUGGGUGGCUUGGUUCGUCGGAGAACGGCGACGAAGCGUUCGUGUGGUCUAAAAGAAGAGGAAAGGGGAGAGAGAAUGACGAGGGAGAAAAAAUGUGUUGACUCCGGAAGAGAGGAGGAAGAGGAAAAAGAGGGUCGAGAAAGAGAGAGUUGAUGGGUCUCAGUGGACCCAAAACUAAACGGGACCUCUCUCUUUCUUUUUGUUUGUUUUUUUUUUUAAUAAACGAUAUUGUUCCAUUAAGAGGAGGAAGUAGAGUUUAAUCUCAUAAUAGUAAUAAUGUGGUUCAAAUUUACUUUUGAUGAGAAUUGAAUAUAAGAGAUCUCACUUACAAGUGAAGAGAAAUAUCAUUAGACCGUAAUAUUAAAUGACUAAAUAGGAAUAAAAAUUUAAAAUAAAGGAAAUAUCUAGAAGAUACUACAUUAUGAGAAUGCUCUUGAACUUUAAAGAUCCAAAUCUUCUUUUGAAUUCUAAAUUUUAUUUUCGCUUCUGCCCACACGUUUGUAUCGUGGAGUGCUAUGAUGAUAUUGCUAAGAGAAUAGAUCAUUGGUGUCACAACCUCAAAGGUCAAUCAAAGUCAACAUUUUCCCUUUCAGAAGUAUUUUGAACAUUUCACUCAUUUGGGGAUUAAAAUAGAGUAAGUUUUGGGACGUUUAGUAACAAUUAUUAUGUAUAAUCACCAAAUUGCAUCUCAAACUUCACAAUACUGACUAGAAUUUCAUUUUGGGCAAAGAAUCAAAAGUGCUACAAAUUCAGAAAACAAUCAUUUAUUUUUUAGUUUUUUUGUUGUUUUGGAAAAUUAUUAUAAGAACCCUUAUUUUAACAUUUUUUCUUCAUUCACCCCUAAAAAAUGUCCAUGUAUUUUAAUUUGAAAUUUAGCGCUCAAUUGUUAAUGAACGCUAGAAUAAUAAACAUAAGUAUUGCGAGGAAUAACUUUUUCAAUUAAUUGACUGGAAAAUUGGACAGCAAUAACGGAAACCAGCGAUAAUUGAGGAAUGGUCUAAAUCAAACAAAAAGUAUAAAUAUGGGGUGAACUAUAAGCAAAAUGUUUAUGUGUAAUUAUUUAGGGCAAAGAAAAUAGAAAAUAAUGAAGGUGGAAUUAAACGAUAACUACCCCUGCAUACUUUCAAGCUUUUGACAACCUGUGAAGUAAAUAGAAAAAUAAAGGUAUUUGUGCAGAACAAAACGUGCUAACGAGAGAGAAAGAUGAAAUUAAGACUCUAAUAGAAGAGAGUCCAAACUUAAUUUA
RNAcentral lists this long non-coding RNA (2089 nucleotides) under Malus domestica (apple). RNAcentral describes it as "long non-coding RNA (MDOM_LNC008668)". Lineage: Eukaryota; Viridiplantae; Streptophyta; Magnoliopsida; Rosales; Rosaceae. The record is from RNAcentral.